This 402-nucleotide ribosomal RNA is filed under the name uncultured bacterium. RNAcentral's name for it is "bacterial SSU rRNA". It matches the Rfam family "Bacterial small subunit ribosomal RNA", at positions 29 to 417 of the family's 1533-position model. The record is from RNAcentral.
AGCGAACGCUGGCGGCGUGCCUAACACAUGCAAGUCGAACGUGAAAAGGGGUAACCCUGAGUAAAGUGGCGUACGGGUGAGAAACGCGUAGGUAAUCUACCUUAGAGCCUGGAAUAACCGACCGAAAGGUUGGCUAAUACUGGAUAGGACGAUGUUACUGUAAAGGUAGUGUCGGGAAAGGGAGGGUGUUAAAGCUCCCUCACUCUAAGAUGAGCCUGCGUCUGAUUAGUUAGUUGGUGAGGUAACGGCUCACCAAGACGAUGAUCGGUAGCUGGUCUGAGAGGAUGAUCAGCCACACUGGAACUGAAACACGGUCCAGACUCCUACGGGAGGCAGCAGUGGGGAAUCUUGCGCAAUGGACGAAAGUCUGACGCAGCAACGCCGCGUGAGUGAAGAAGGCCU